Molecule: regulatory RNA element, 127 nt
Organism: Clostridium paraputrificum
Lineage: Bacteria; Bacillati; Bacillota; Clostridia; Eubacteriales; Clostridiaceae
Rfam family: SAM riboswitch aptamer (S box leader)
About the family: The SAM riboswitch is found upstream of a number of genes which code for proteins involved in methionine or cysteine biosynthesis in Gram-positive bacteria. The SAM riboswitch acts at the level of transcription termination control.
Source: Rfam
AUCUUAUCCAGAGUGGUGGAGGGACUGGCCCUGUGAAACCCAGCAACCGAUUAAGUGGCUCAUUUUCCAUUUAGAAUACGGUGCUAAUUCCUGCAGCAAUUUUUUAUAUUUUGCUGAUAGAUAAGAG